Molecule: ribosomal RNA, 996 nt
Filed under: Mortierellales sp.
Lineage: Eukaryota; Fungi; Mortierellomycota
Description: partial large subunit ribosomal RNA
Rfam family: Eukaryotic large subunit ribosomal RNA
Source: RNAcentral
UAGUAACGGCGAGUGAAGCGGGAUGAGCUCAAAUUUAAAAUCUGGCUGGUUUACUAGUCCGAAUUGUAGUUUAUAGAAGCGUUUUCGGUGGCAGCCUGGGUAUAAGUCCUUUGGAAUAGGGCAUCAUAGAGGGUGAGAAUCCCGUCUUUGACUCAGUGCAUGCUACUAUGUGAUACGUUUUCAAAGAGUCGAGUUGUUUGGGAAUGCAGCUCAAAAUGGGUGGUAAAUUUCAUCUAAAGCUAAAUAUUGGCGAGAGACCGAUAGCGAACAAGUACCGUGAGGGAAAGAUGAAAAGAACUUUGAAAAGAGAGUUAAACAGUGCGUGAAAUUGUUGAAAGGGAAACGCUUGACACCAGUUAUGCGGGUGGAAAAUCAGUCUUUUGCAAUGGGGAGUUGUGGGCGUUCAGACCGCAAGGCUGGCGUUUGCUUCAUCUUUGUUGUAAGUGAUGCACUUUUUCAUUUGCAGGUCAACAUCAGUUUGCUUUGCUGGACAAAACUCCAAGGGAAGGUGACAGCUUAGGCUGUGUUAUAGCCCUGGAGCGAUACAGUGGAGUGGACUGAGGUUUCGCAGUGUGUGCUUUUAGCAAGGCUGACUGGGUGCUAUGGGAUCGUUCGGCGUACAAUGCAUGCAUUUUGCGUCGUGUCUUUUUCAUACUCGCUCAACUCGGCUCUUCCACGCUUAGGAUGUUGACUUAAUGGUUUUAAUCGACCCGUCUUGAAACACGGACCAAGGAGUCUAACAUAUAUGCAAGUGUUUGGGUGGCAAACCCAUGCGCGUAAUGAAAGUGAACGUAGGUGCCAUCCGCAAGGUGCAGCAUCGACCGAUCUUGAUAUUUUUGGAUAGAUUUGAGUAAGAGCAUAUAUGCUGGGACCCGAAAGAUGGUGAACUAUGCCUGAAUAGGGUGAAGCCAGAGGAAACUCUGGUGGAGGCUCGUAGCGAUUCUGACGUGCAAAUCGAUCGUCAAAUUUGGGUAUAGGGGCGAAAGACUAAUCGAA